This 253-nucleotide ribosomal RNA is filed under the name uncultured bacterium. RNAcentral's name for it is "partial 16S ribosomal RNA". It matches the Rfam family "Bacterial small subunit ribosomal RNA", at positions 524 to 776 of the family's 1533-position model. The record is from RNAcentral.
UACAGAGGGUGCGAGCGUUGUCCGGAAUCACUGGGCGUAAAGGGCGCGUAGGCGGCUUUUCACGCGUGCGGUGAAAGCUCGGGGCUUAACUCCGAGUCUGCCGUGCGAACGGGGAGGCUUGAGUCUGGUAGAGGUCGAUGGAAUUCCGGGUGUAGUGGUGAAAUGCGUAGAGAUCCGGAGGAACCCCAGAGGCGAAGGCGGCGUCCUGGCUCGCAUCUGACGCUCAGACACGACAGCAUGGGGAGCGAACGGG